ACGAACGCUGGCGGCGUGCUUAACACAUGCUUUUCGAACGGACCGCCCCUGAAAGAGUUUUCGGACAAUGGAAGGGAACGCUUAGUGGCGGACUGGUGAGUAACGCGUGAGGAACCUGCCUUUCGGAGGGGGACAACAGUUGGAAACGACUGCUAAUACCGCAUGACACAUGACUGUGGCAUCGCAGACUUGUCAAAGAUUUUAUCGCCGAAAGAUGGCCUCGCGUCUGAUUAGCUAGUUGGUGAGGUAACGGCUCACCUAGGCGACGUAUCUUUUCCCGGACUGAGAGGUUGGCCGGCCACUUUGGGACUGACAUACGGCCCAGACUCCUACGGGAGGCUGCAGUGGGGAAUAUUGGGUAAUGAACACACGUCUGACCCUCCAACGCCGCGUGAAGGAAGAAGGCUUUCGGGUUGUAAUCUUCUUUUAUGGGGGAAGAGCAUAACACGGUCCCCCCUUGAAUAAUCCACGGCUAACUACAUGCCUCCCCCCGCGUUAAUCACCUUGGCGGCACGCGUUGUCCGGAUUUAUCGCGUGUAAAGGGCUGGCAGUCGGAAAGACAAAUCCUAUGUGAAAUCCGCGGGCUCACCCCGCGAAAUGCAUUUGAAACUGUUUCCCUGGAGUAUCGGAGAGGUCAUCGGGAAUUCCUUAGUGUAGCGGUGAAAUGCGGUGGAUAUUAGGAAGAACACCAGUGGCGAAAGGCGGAUGACUGGACGACAACUGACGGUGAGGCGCGAAAGCGUGGGGAGCAAACAGGAUUAGAUACCCUGGUAGUCCACGCUGUAAACGAUCAAUACUAGGUGUGCGGGGACUGACCCCCUGCGUGCCGGAGUUAACACAAUAAGUAUUGCACCUGGGGAGUACGAUCGCAAGGUUGAAACUCAAAGGAAUUGACGGGGGCCCGCACAAGCGGUGGAUUAUGUGGUUUAAUUCGAAGCAACGCGAAGAACCUUACCAGGGCUUGACAUCCUACUAACGAAGUAGAGAUACAUUAGGUGCCCUUCGGGGAAAGUAGAGACAGGUGGUGCAUGGUUGUCGUCAGCUCGUGUCGUGAGAUGUUGGGUUAAGUCCCGCAACGAGCGCAACCCCUAUUGUUAGUUGCUACGCAAGAGCACUCUAGCGAGACUGCCGUUGACAAAACGGAGGAAGGCGGGGACGACGUCAAAUCAUCAUGCCCCUUAUGUCCUGGGCUACACACGUAAUACAAUGGCGGUUAACAGAGGGAUGCAAAUCCGCGAGGAGGAGCGAACCCCCAAAAGCCGUCCCAGUUCGGAUUGCAGGCUGCAACCCGCCUGCAUGAAGUCGGAAUCGCUAGUAAUCGCGGAUCAGCAUGCCGCGGUGAAUACG
This 1347-nucleotide ribosomal RNA is filed under the name uncultured bacterium. RNAcentral's name for it is "bacterial SSU rRNA". It matches the Rfam family "Bacterial small subunit ribosomal RNA", at positions 29 to 1370 of the family's 1533-position model. The record is from RNAcentral.